GCUGAAGAGAGGAGCUUGCUCUUCUUGGAUGAGUUGCGAACGGGUGAGUAACGCGUAGGUAACCUGCCUUGUAGCGGGGGAUAACUAUUGGAAACGAUAGCUAAUACCGCAUAACAAUGGAUGACACAUGUCAUUUAUUUGAAAGGGGCAAUUGCUCCACUACAAGAUGGACCUGCGUUGUAUUAGCUAGUAGGUGAGGUAACGGCUCACCUAGGCGACGAUACAUAGCCGACCUGAGAGGGUGAUCGGCCACACUGGGACUGAGACACGGCCCAGACUCCUACGGGAGGCAGCAGUAGGGAAUCUUCGGCAAUGGGGGCAACCCUGACCGAGCAACGCCGCGUGAGUGAAGAAGGUUUUCGGAUCGUAAAGCUCUGUUGUAAGUCAAGAACGAGUGUGAGAGUGGAAAGUUCACACUGUGACGGUAGCUUACCAGAAAGGGACGGCUAACUACGUGCCAGCAGCCGCGGUAAUACGUAGGUCCCGAGCGUUGUCCGGAUUUAUUGGGCGUAAAGCGAGCGCAGGCGGUUUGAUAAGUCUGAAGUUAAAGGCUGUGGCUCAACCAUAGUUCGCUUUGGAAACUGUCAAACUUGAGUGCAGAAGGGGAGAGUGGAAUUCCAUGUGUAGCGGUGAAAUGCGUAGAUAUAUGGAGGAACACCGGUGGCGAAAGCGGCUCUCUGGUCUGUAACUGACGCUGAGGCUCGAAAGCGUGGGGAGCGAACAGGAUUAGAUACCCUGGUAGUCCACGCCGUAAACGAUGAGUGCUAGGUGUUGGAUCCUUUCCGGGAUUCAGUGCCGCAGCUAACGCAUUAAGCACUCCGCCUGGGGAGUACGACCGCAAGGUUGAAACUCAAAGGAAUUGACGGGGGCCCGCACAAGCGGUGGAGCAUGUGGUUUAAUUCGAAGCAACGCGAAGAACCUUACCAGGUCUUGACAUCCCGAUGCUAUUUCUAGAGAUAGAAAGUUACUUCGGUACAUCGGUGACAGGUGGUGCAUGGUUGUCGUCAGCUCGUGUCGUGAGAUGUUGGGUUAAGUCCCGCAACGAGCGCAACCCCUAUUGUUAGUUGCCAUCAUUCAGUUGGGCACUCUAGCGAGACUGCCGGUAAUAAACCGGAGGAAGGUGGGGAUGACGUCAAAUCAUCAUGCCCCUUAUGACCUGGGCUACACACGUGCUACAAUGGUUGGUACAACGAGUUGCGAGUCGGUGACGGCAAGCUAAUCUCUUAAAGCCAAUCUCAGUUCGGAUUGUAGGCUGCAACUCGCCUACAUGAAGUCGGAAUCGCUAGUAAUCGCGGAUCAGCACGCCGCGGUGAAUACGUUCCCGGGCCUUGUACACACCGCCCGUCACACCACGAGAGUUUGUAACACCCGAAGUCGGUGAGGUAACCU
RNAcentral lists this ribosomal RNA (1389 nucleotides) under Streptococcus sp. RNAcentral describes it as "bacterial SSU rRNA". It matches the Rfam family "Bacterial small subunit ribosomal RNA", at positions 66 to 1441 of the family's 1533-position model. Lineage: Bacteria; Bacillati; Bacillota; Bacilli; Lactobacillales; Streptococcaceae. The record is from RNAcentral. RNAcentral also lists the same sequence under 1 other name.